This 253-nucleotide ribosomal RNA is filed under the name uncultured bacterium. RNAcentral describes it as "partial 16S ribosomal RNA". It matches the Rfam family "Bacterial small subunit ribosomal RNA", at positions 524 to 776 of the family's 1533-position model. The record is from RNAcentral.
UACGUAGGGGGCAAGCGUUGUCCGGAAUCAUUGGGCGUAAAGAGCGUGUAGGCGGCUUGGUAAGUCCGCUGUGAAAGUCCAGGGCUCAACCCUGGAAUGCCGGUGGAAACUGUCAAGCUUGAGUCCGGAAGAGGCGAGUGGAAUUCCUGGUGUAGCGGUGAAAUGCGCAGAUAUCAGGAGGAACACCAAAGGCGAAGGCAGUGUCCUGGGGAGUACCUGACGCUCAGGUGCGAAAGCCAGGGGAGCGAACGGG